Molecule: ribosomal RNA, 253 nt
Filed under: uncultured bacterium
Lineage: Bacteria
Description: partial 16S ribosomal RNA
Rfam family: Bacterial small subunit ribosomal RNA
Source: RNAcentral
UACGUAGGGUGCAAGCGUUAAUCGGAAUUACUGGGCGUAAAGCGUGCGCAGGCGGUUUUGUAAGUCUGACGUGAAAUCCCCGGGCUCAACCUGGGAAUUGCAUUGGAGACUGCAAGGCUAGAAUCUGGCAGAGGGGGGUAGAAUUCCACGUGUAGCAGUGAAAUGUGUAGAGAUGUGGAGGAACACCGAUGGCGAAGGCAGCCCCCUGGGUCAAGAUUGACGCUCAUGCACGAAAGCGUGGGGAGCAAACAGG